UCCAGGGUAGCCGAUGGACAAGGCACCUGCCCGGUAAGCAGAAGGGUGUGGGUUCGAUUCCCGCCCCUGGAC
RNAcentral lists this transfer RNA (72 nucleotides) under Cordylochernes scorpioides. RNAcentral describes it as "tRNA-Thr". It matches the Rfam family "tRNA". Rfam says of the family: Transfer RNA (tRNA) molecules are approximately 80 nucleotides in length. Lineage: Eukaryota; Metazoa; Arthropoda; Arachnida; Pseudoscorpiones; Chernetidae. The record is from RNAcentral.